AUUGAACGCUGGCGGCAGGCUUAACACAUGCAAGUCGAGCGGGGGAAGGUAGCUUGCUACCGGACCUAGCGGCGGACGGGUGAGUAAUGCUUAGGAAUCUGCCUAUUAGUGGGGGACGACAUCUCGAAAGGGAUGCUAAUACCGCAUACGUCCUACGGGAGAAAGCAGGGGAUCAUCGGACCUAGCGCUAAAAGAUGAGCCUAAGUCGGAUUAGCUAGUUGGUGGGGUAAAGGCCUACCAAGGCGGCGAUCUGUAGCGGGUCUGAGCGGAUGAUCCGGCAAACUGGGACUGAGACACGGCCCAGGCUCCUACGGGGGGCAGCAGUGGGGAAUAUUGGACAAUGGGGGGAACCCUGAUCCAGCCAUGCCGCGUGUGUGAAGAAGGCCUUAUGGUUGUAAAGCAGUUUAAGCGAGGAGGAGGCUACUUUAGUUAAUACCUAGAUAUAGUGGACGUUACUCGCAGAAUAAGCACCGGCUAACUCUGUGCCAGCAGCCGCCGUAA
Molecule: ribosomal RNA, 501 nt
Filed under: uncultured bacterium
Lineage: Bacteria
Description: partial 16S ribosomal RNA
Rfam family: Bacterial small subunit ribosomal RNA
Source: RNAcentral